UGCAACCUGCUUACUGUAUAAUUUGUCGGUUGUAUGACCUUCUAGUACUAUUUCCUUCUGAAACAAUUGAUACAUGCAUGAUUGGUGUACUGUGAAAUAUUUAUCAAUGCCUUGUGAACAUGAACCAGAGCAAACUAAUCCAAGUAAGGAAAGAAAAGCAUCUGUCUAGUCUAAUGCUAGGAGUUCGUGCUGCAGUAGUUUCAACAGUUCUGUUUUAAUUAAACACUCUGACUGUCUUGGUUUGGGUUUCUUAUAUGCCAGUCAGCUGGGAACAUUAUUGCUUUUAUUCAUGUCAGUAGAUGAAAUGGUUUAGUUUUGUUCUGUUUACUGCAACCCUUUCUGAAAUUACAUGCAUUAUUUGCUUGGAUUUAAUCUUUUUACAAUUUUUGCAGUUAAAGGAUAUUGUGCAAGAAUCUUAGGCUUGUGAAGAGCCUCAUUGAUGUCUAGAACCAAUCUGAGCAUGUGUUGCAUACAUUUGGACUGCAUGCCUGCUUACAAAAUUAAGAUGCUGUUAACAAGGUUGUUGAUAAUGCAGCAAGACACAUCCCAAUCAAUCCACCAAGAAAACAAGGUAGUGUACAUCACUCUUUGUUGAAGAGGACAAAGACCAUUGAAAGGAAGUAUUGUUAUUAUUACUCAGUAUUUCUCUUUGGAAAUGUAUAGGGACCAUGGAUUGACUCAUAAUUGCUUUCUUUUGUGUGAAUGUUUUGAGACCUUUAAAUAUGCUUCUACUGUUUGUCUUGCUUCUUUGAUUAAGCUUAGGAAACUAUAAACUAGUGUACCAUCAAAGAAUCUUAAGGAAAUUUAGUGGAGAAUGAUGAGUUGUUGGAAUGUGUAUGAUGAUGUAUACUAUUAUUUAUUAUGUUGGAGAUGAUGUUGUAAACUAUUAAUUAUUAUGUUGGAGAAGAUGUUGUAAACUAUUAAUUAUUAUGUGGAGGUUGUG
This is a long non-coding RNA of Dioscorea cayenensis subsp. rotundata (Guinea yam), 943 nucleotides long. RefSeq lists it as uncharacterized. Lineage: Eukaryota; Viridiplantae; Streptophyta; Magnoliopsida; Dioscoreales; Dioscoreaceae. The record is from RefSeq and is a predicted model, not a curated record. The transcript has 3 exons.